This 273-nucleotide ribosomal RNA is filed under the name uncultured bacterium. RNAcentral's name for it is "partial 16S ribosomal RNA". It matches the Rfam family "Bacterial small subunit ribosomal RNA", at positions 524 to 796 of the family's 1533-position model. The record is from RNAcentral.
UACGGAGGGGGUUAGCGUUGUUCGGAAUUACUUGGCGUAAAGCGCACGUAGGCGGACUGGAAAGUUGGGGGUGAAAUCCCGGGGCUCAACCCCGGAACUGCCUCCAAAACUUCCAAUCUAGAGAUCGAGAGAGGUGAGUGGAAUUCCAAGUGUAGAGGUGAAAUUCGUAGAUAUUUGGAGGAACACCAGUGGCGAAGGCGGCUCACUGGCUCGAUACUGACGCUGAGGUGCGAAAGCGUGGGGAGCAAACAGGAUUAGAAACCCUAGUAGUCC